CCUACGGGAGGCAGCAGUAGGGAAUAUUGCUCAAUGGGGGAAACCCUGAAGCAGCAACGCCGCGUGGAGGAUGAAGGUUUUCGGAUUGUAAACUCCUUUUGUUAGAGACGAUAAUGACGGUAUCUAACGAAUAAGCACCGGCUAACUCCGUGCCAGCAGCCGCGGUAAUACGGAGGGUGCAAGCGUUACUCGGAAUAACUGGGCGUAAAGGGCGCGUAGGCGGGAAAGCAAGUCAGAUGUGAAAUCCUAGGGCUUAACCAUAGUACUGCAUUUGAAACUGUUAUUCUAGAGUAUGGGAGAGGUAGGUGGAAUUCCUGGUGUAGCGGUAAAAUGCGUAGAGAUCAAGAGGAAUACUGAUGGCGAAGGCGGCCUGCUGGGACUUUACUGACGCUGAUGCGCGAAAGCGUGGGGAGCAAACAGGAUUAGAUACCCCAGUAGUC
RNAcentral lists this ribosomal RNA (440 nucleotides) under uncultured bacterium. RNAcentral describes it as "partial 16S ribosomal RNA". It matches the Rfam family "Bacterial small subunit ribosomal RNA", at positions 338 to 795 of the family's 1533-position model. The record is from RNAcentral.